Molecule: long non-coding RNA, 844 nt
Organism: Diorhabda carinulata
Lineage: Eukaryota; Metazoa; Arthropoda; Insecta; Coleoptera; Chrysomelidae
Exons: 2
Source: RefSeq, a predicted model, not a curated record
UCCUACAUGCUCCACUUACACACGCUCACACGCUAAACAACCAUCCGCAAAAAGGUUCAGUGGCAAGGCUUAGUCAAUGUGAGUGGGUCAGGGCUGGAGUGGCAGUCGUCUCGACGUCGACUCCCCCACUCCGACGCUUACCGUCGGCGCACCGACCCGUCACCCAUUUAAACCCAUCGCCUCCUUACGAACAACUCACUCUUACGUUCUUCUCUGAUCGCGCAUAGUGCAAUCCCCCAUCUCGAUUGUAACAGCAGCAUGUUCGGAGGUCUUGACCCCACUGGGCUAUACUGAGAAAAAGACGAUUUUAGUGCAAAUUUUCAGUUUUCAAUUUUUAUAAGUUAAAACUCAUUACCAUGGACGGAGGAAAACUCGAUCCUACCGGACAGUACUAGUGUGUGACAGUUUGCGCAAAUAAAGGACUUUAACGAUGACGAACACGGGAGGCAAGGGCCUAGAUCCCACUGGAUUAUACUGAUAUUAAGAUGUGGCCCCACUUAGGAAACGGCGGCCGUCAAACAUCAAGCUGCCGACGUAAACGACUAUGAUUAUGAUCCAAGUCAAACAGACUAACUAACAUCUCACACUGCCACACAAGUUACCGUUGAAUCUUUUGUCCACCCAACAAUUCUGGAUAUUUGAAGACUGAUGUUUGUUGUUUUUUUAUUAUUUUUAAGAUUGUUUUUUUAUUAAAUUAUAUGUAGGUUAAGUUCCUUGAGGGCUGCAUCCAAUAUAAUGCAUGUUUCUCCCAAUUUAAUGUAUAUAAAACAAAAUGUCCAAAUGUAUAUGUUUCCAUCCCGAGCUUUUUAUACUACUAUUUCUUUUUAAUUAAAUAUUUUUUUAU